Molecule: ribosomal RNA, 960 nt
Filed under: uncultured Acinetobacter sp.
Lineage: Bacteria; Pseudomonadati; Pseudomonadota; Gammaproteobacteria; Moraxellales; Moraxellaceae
Description: bacterial SSU rRNA
Rfam family: Bacterial small subunit ribosomal RNA
Source: RNAcentral
UACAGAGGGUGCGAGCGUUAAUCGGAUUUACUGGGCGUAAAGCGUGCGUAGGCGGCUUUUUAAGUCGGAUGUGAAAUCCUGAGCUUAACUUAGGAAUUGCAUUCGAUACUGGGAGGCUAGAGUAUGGGAGAGGAUGGUAGAAUUUCCAGGUGUAGCGGUGAAAUGCGUAGAGAUCUGGAGGAAUACCGAUGGCGAAGGCAGCCAUCUGGCCUAAUACUGACGCUGAGGUACGAAAGCAUGGGGAGCAAACAGGAUUAGAUACCCUGGUAGUCCAUGCCGUAAACGAUGUCUACUAGCCGUUGGGGCCUUUGAGGCUUUAGUGGCGCAGCUAACGCGAUAAGUAGACCGCCUGGGGAGUACGGUCGCAAGACUAAAACUCAAAUGAAUUGACGGGGGCCCGCACAAGCGGUGGAGCAUGUGGUUUAAUUCGAUGCAACGCGAAGAACCUUACCUGGUCUUGACAUACAGAGAACUUUCCAGAGAUGGAUUGGUGCCUUCGGGAACUCUGAUACAGGUGCUGCAUGGCUGUCGUCAGCUCGUGUCGUGAGAUGUUGGGUUAAGUCCCGCAACGAGCGCAACCCUUUUCCUUACUUGCCAUCGGGUCAUGCCGGGAACUUUAAGGAUACUGCCAGUGACAAACUGGAGGAAGGCGGGGACGACGUCAAGUCAUCAUGGCCCUUACGACCAGGGCUACACACGUGCUACAAUGGUCGGUACAAAGGGUUGCUACCUAGCGAUAGGAUGCUAAUCUCAAAAAGCCGAUCGUAGUCCGGAUUGGAGUCUGCAACUCGACUCCAUGAAGUCGGAAUCGCUAGUAAUCGCGGAUCAGAAUGCCGCGGUGAAUACGUUCCCGGGCCUUGUACACACCGCCCGUCACACCAUGGAGUUUGUUGCACCAGAAGUAGUAGUCUAACCGCAAGGAGACGCUUACCACGGUGUGCCGAUGACUGGGGUGAGUCG